Molecule: long non-coding RNA, 1270 nt
Organism: Pteropus alecto (black flying fox)
Lineage: Eukaryota; Metazoa; Chordata; Mammalia; Chiroptera; Pteropodidae
Exons: 3
Source: RefSeq, a predicted model, not a curated record
CUUCUGGUAUUCACUUUGCUUUCCCAUAGGGCUGGGGGUCAAAACCAGGCGGAAGCGCAAGCCUCGAAAGCAGGUCCCGUCACUUCCCUGCAUGCAUAGCUAUCCCCCAUCCCCACCCUUCCUAAGGUGAGGCAUUGCAGAGGAGGAAGGAGGGGGCUGGUUCUCGGGUACGCGUUGCUGAAAUCUCAUGGGAACCACUCAGAGGAAGUGAUGUGAAAAGAACGGACGAGUUUCCCACGCUCUAAACUCAGGAGCGGCAAUGUCCUUAUUCUUUGCUGUGACGCUGGCUCUCAGAGUGACUAACGUAAACGAACAUCUGCUCGUCUCCCGUUCCCUAUGCACAGCUCACGGCAUCGUCCUGUGUCACGGGAGAAAGAAGCGUGGGACAGCCACGCCCGAGGAGUGUAAGGACAUUCCCCGAGAGCCGCUUAUGCUCAGGAGAAUUAUGCAGUGACAUUUCUGUGCGUUAUUUCAUUUCUUAAAUGUCAUUAUUCUUUAAAAAAUUAAUGCAAGUUCAUGGGGGAAAAAAAAUCACACAGGACAAAAGAUACACAAUGGAAUGUCACCCUGUCUGUCACUGCCCUAUCUUUUCCCCAGAGGACCGUUGCUACUUUUUCAUCUGCCCUCCGCCGGUGGUCCAGGACAUCCACGUGUUUGUCCAGACUAGUGAGGAGUACACGUGUGUGCAUUUCCGUACUUUAUUUUAAACCUAAAAAGUAGCAAACCACAUAGACUCUUCUGAACCUCAUUCUUUUCACUUAAUAUUAUCUUGGACACUGCUUCGCGUUCACCCACAGAUCCACCUCGUUGUGUUGGAUGCUCAUGUCAUCCUCAUGAGUUUUGUUAAUGUCGAUAUAGAAGAACUAGACCUCGGGCUGUCUGGGGGCCGCUGAAGCAGCCUGUGGGUUCUCCAGAUGGUGCUUGAUAUGAAGUCAGCAGGGGCGGCUGUUGGACAGAAGGUGGCAGGAAGGGGGCCAGGGACAAAGUGGAAGCCAUGAGGAUAAAGCGAAAACACCUCUAUUCUUGAGCAUUCAGGGGCGUGCCGGAUAAGCUGGAGCCCUUGACCGUGGAGCUGAACUCACACCUGGCCAGGAGGCAGGGGCCCUGCCAGGGAAGACGCAUUAGGGGCCGCACACCUGGCUGCAGUGACGCCCACACGUUAGCGAGCGGCAUGCAUGUGAGAUGCAAACGUACCUGCCGUCAUCCACCUUCUAACUCAGGAAGCGCCGCGCCUCCGCCACGCUCGGCCGCACCUUUCUCCUGGCGAGCC